Leopardus geoffroyi (Geoffroy's cat) is the source of this 152-nucleotide long non-coding RNA. RefSeq lists it as uncharacterized. The record is from RefSeq and is a predicted model, not a curated record. NCBI's taxonomy places the organism in Eukaryota, Metazoa, Chordata, Mammalia, Carnivora, Felidae. The transcript has 3 exons.
GGAAGGGGACAGUCAAGGGGAGAAUCAAUCCUAGCAAUUUGGAAAGGAUAUUACUUCAAUCAAAACCAAAUUAAUUCCUAAAACUUGCUAUCCAGUGGUUAGGUCACUGCUGGGGUUGCAAUGACAUUCAGGAAAACACACCCUCGCCCAUC